RNAcentral lists this unclassified non-coding RNA (371 nucleotides) under fungal sp. RNAcentral's name for it is "partial internal transcribed spacer region". The stretch from base 1 to 46 matches the Rfam family "Eukaryotic small subunit ribosomal RNA", at positions 1786 to 1831 of the family's 1831-position model. The record is from RNAcentral. Lineage: Eukaryota; Fungi.
AAGUCGUAACAAGGUUUCCGUAGGUGAACCUGCGGAAGGAUCAUUAACACGUAUCCACGUAUCAACCAAUCGUGAACUCGUUUUCGCAUCUCCCUGCUAGAUGAAUUGGAACGGUCAAACAAUUUGAGUGGGACUCUUCGGAGUCACGGUUUGACCCCAUAUACAAUUUAUCUAGUCAGGUUCCUUCUUAUAAAAUCAAAUUCCAUUCAUAUUUGAAUUUAUAGGAUAUAUCAUUCACUUAUUUCACACCCUUUUUGCUAGUUGACUUUUUUAUGUGGUGUUGUGAGGAAAUUAAUUUUUUCUCUUAGCUCACACGUUUAAUUAAUUGAACGUUAAAAAUACAACUCUUAGCAAUGGAUAUCUUGGUUCUC